Molecule: transfer RNA, 65 nt
Filed under: Dipodomys ordii (Ord's kangaroo rat)
Lineage: Eukaryota; Metazoa; Chordata; Mammalia; Rodentia; Heteromyidae
Rfam family: tRNA
About the family: Transfer RNA (tRNA) molecules are approximately 80 nucleotides in length. Their secondary structure includes four short double-helical elements and three loops (D, anti-codon, and T loops).
Source: Rfam by way of RNAcentral
GGUGGCUCAGUGGUAGAGUGCUUGCCUUUAACACAUGAGGCCCUGGGUUCGAUUCCUCAGUACCA